This 409-nucleotide long non-coding RNA is filed under the name Salvia miltiorrhiza (redroot sage). RNAcentral's name for it is "long non-coding RNA (SMIL_LNC010988)". Lineage: Eukaryota; Viridiplantae; Streptophyta; Magnoliopsida; Lamiales; Lamiaceae. The record is from RNAcentral.
GCAUGUGUUACUUUUUCAUAUUUUGUUCUCAUUUUUUAUUUUUCAGAUGUUAACGUUAUUUGUAAUUGAGUACAUAUUAUGAUCAAAAUAAGAUGCAUAUUAAAUUUCAACAACGCAGCCAAGUUGUGUUAUUACUUAUUAAUUAUGGUACUUUUUUAUAUUUUGUCUCGUAUUUUUUUUUUUUGAGGUGUUAAUGUUAUAUGUAAUUGAGUACGUAUUAUAUUAAUUCAAUAUGUACUUUAAAUUCCAUGUACGCGGCCAAGUUGUUGUUGUUGUUAAUUAUGUUACCUUUUUCAUAUUUUGUUCUCGUUUUUAUUUUUUCAGAUGUUAAUGUUAUUUGUAACUGAGAAAAUAGUAUGUUAAUUCAAGAUGUGCUUCAAAUUUCAUUUACCCAGCCAAGUUAUUAUUA